RNAcentral lists this unclassified non-coding RNA (4131 nucleotides) under Leishmania donovani. RNAcentral's name for it is "gene:LdHU3.25.1630(CDS-product:hypothetical_prote in_conserved)". Lineage: Eukaryota; Euglenozoa; Kinetoplastea; Trypanosomatida; Trypanosomatidae. The record is from RNAcentral.
CUGAUUUCUCUGCCUGUUUCUCCCCUCCCUGCGUUCAAGCCGUUGUUGCCGCUGAUACACUUCGUACUGUCUCCGUCCCCAUUCACCAGUGACCUGACUGCACCACUGACACUCGUCCACCUACCCACAAACACACAUACGCAUAUAUACAUAUUUAUCUUCUUAUAUCUCCCCCCUCCUUUGCUCCCUUCUCUAUUUCGACCACCGCGCACUGGCUCUCACCCACCCGCACCUCCCCCUUAGCAGCAGCGGGGACAGCAGGCGGGCCUUCUCUCACGUGGGGUAGUCGUCGCUUGGCGAGGCGCUCUUACCUGUUUUGCCCCCUCGGUAAAGGGGCUCUGGCGUCAUUGAGUGCGUCUGUCGGUGUGCGGCACAAGCUGAGGCGACAGCAGCUACACGGUCAAGGAGAGAGACAGGGACGAGCAACCGCCGUGGCGCAACACCAUCCAUUCAUACAGAUCCGCUCAAGAGGUGGAAAACAACGACGAUCAAAGAUGUGGUCGAUGCUCUCGCAGGACUUUUCCGACUUCGCCGAGGCGUUCAAGUCCGAGUCGGUGGGGUUUAUGGGCUAUCUCGAGCACAUCGCCGCCAACGUCGUGGGCCGCGGCGACGUAUACGCCGGCGACGAGGCUCUCGGAAAGGCGGUCGCGGAAAUGCCACUGUCCAAUGCCCUGCUGCGGCGCUUACAGGACACGGAGGCGACAUACACGCUGCCCAUUCAGCCAGAGGAGAAGGCGGCGUUCGCAGCGUGGAUAAAGGGAAGUCCUCUCAGCAGCGCGAACGCGCUCCGCCGCCAGCAGUACAUGGCGGCAGGCGGCACCACCACCAAGUCGGAGGGUGGCUCUCCUGCUGGGACGCCGGGGCGCCUUCCGCCGCCUGGCAUGACGCCCAACCGCCGCACCGUCGAGUACCCCGAUGAGCCGAUGGAAGAGACCCGCCAGCGGCUGCUGGACUACAACGAGGUGGUGCUGAAGUGCUACAUGUCGCUCGUGGGCGACGCGGUGAGCCCGCGCUCCAGCGUCUCGGCAUCACCGGAUGCGAGGCGGUGGCAGACGGACCCGUCCUUUGCUGCGAGGCGUGGAGAGGGUGAGAGCAGGAGCCCCGUGCCGGUUGCCGCAACUGGCGAGCGGUCACAGGUUUCCUCCCCUUCCUCGGCGAUGACACCAGCGCGCGGCCGCAUCAGCGAGGACGAGUUUUUUGACCGCUACUUUUUCCGCUUGACGCAGCUCCGUGUGUCGGAGUCGCAGCGCCGCGGCGCUGCCCCUCACCAAAAGGCCUCCGCGAGCACCUCGGCGGCGGCAUCGCCGGCGUCUCCAUCGGCCCCUCCAACGCCGUCGUCGUCGCCGCAGGUGAACGAUAGGAGUCGACAGAGCACCGACGAAGACGACUUUGCCGUCGUGCCGCUGUUUGCGAAGCGCGUGAUGACGGCAGCCACUGGCUUCGUGAUGGGUAUCGACAACGCGCUGAACAGCGUCGUGACGGGCGAGGCAUCGCGCUGCAGCGGCGCCGAUGGCGAGGGGAUGGAUGAGUUCAGCGAGGAUGGUGCCAACGUGGACCCAAAGGACCUCGUGCACUACAGCAGCACGAGGCAGCAGAUCGCGGGCCUCGAGUCGACGGUGCAAGAGCUGCAGGAGGCUCUUCGUCAGGAGCGGCGGCGCGUUGUUCAGCUCGCCAGCGCGUUGGAGGCUCAAGGGAUCGAGGUGCCAGCAGAGCUCUUGACACCGGCGCGGUCCUCGGCUCCGAUAACUCCUGCGGAAAAGACGGAGGUGACCUUGGCGACAGCGCUGAUGGCUGCCCGCGACACCGAUCCAGCCCCUGCCACUCCCACUGGGACUGCCGCUGCCGCGUCUUCUGCCGGAAGUGGAGCGUCAGCUAUGCCGUUAGCCCCCACCGCAGCGGCCCCACCCCUGGACAACCAGAAAGAUAGCGAGGCCACCUCUUCCACGCAUAGCACCAGCGGCGACAUGAUCUCGGCGGCAACGGAGGAGGAUACGUGGGUGUGCAUGAGCACAGGCGCCGAGUAAAGGGGCCAGGAAGCGAAAUGCGCCUGAUGGGCGCAUGUGUGUGUAUGUGACGAAAGGGAGGUGCGUACGGGCACACGCGUGUGUGUGUGUGUGUGUCUGCGUGCGUAAUGACUCGUCGCCUCUUCGUUGCAAUCGUGUUGGCUGAGCAUCAGAGGCGGCAUCGCUUUCGCUCGUAUCCUUUCGUCGUGUCUCCCUUCCCCACUCUGCAUGACUUCAGUGCUCCGUGGCGCUGGCUGCUUUGGGUGCCGCUCUUCUUUCGUGCGUGAGGGGGAAGGGGGCGAGGGGGGUGUUGCACGCAGCCCAUUAAGCGAGUCGGCACAUUCGUCUCAGUCGGCCCGACCCCUUUGGGGAGGGGGGGGUGCGGCCGAGCCGCUUACACCGAGGGCCAUACCGGGAUGGCACAGAGCGCACCUUUUUCAUACAAGGGCGUGUCGGCGCGCGCGCACCGCCUGCGCUUGUGCAUGCACGGACGAGAGUGCGGAGCCACCCGCCCUUCCGCCCCAGCUUCCCGUCUCACCGUGUGGAGACAUGAAGAGUGGGCGGGGUCGGAUGGGCGGGGCUUACUCGGAAGCCGCCGGGCAGCGGAAAUGGCGGGGGAGAAAAGGGGGAGGAGGGCGGCCGUGAGGUCGCCGGGAAACCCGUCGUAAAGCAACUGCAAACGAGGAGGGGUCGUGGCAGGCAGAAUAGCGAUCGCGCUGGCGCCUGAGAAGCGAGAGAGCAAACCCUCCCUUCCCCCCGAUCGUGCCGCCGACCCUGCCGCACUGCCAUCGCCCCGGGGAAGGAGCGUGCACGGACGAGCUGGGCGUGCAAAGAUGGCAACGAGGAGAAAAGAAAACAUUUUUCGCUCUGUUGGGGGGCUCGACGAGCUCACUCUUGCAGGCGUGAAAAGGGGUUUAGAGGAAGGGAGAGAGAGCGAUGGACAGUCGUCAGCAAUGACUGUGCAAGGCACGCCUUCACCAUCUUACAUGUAUAUGAGUUUGUGGUGCCUGUGUAUACGGAGGGUAGGCGGCGUCGCUCCUUCGGCUGUGUGCUGCGCCGCUUCCUCCCUUCCGCAUCUUCACCUUCUCCUUCCCCUCUGGUUUCAUGCUCCUUAAUACGCGCCACCACUGGUCGGCCCUGAAGAUUUGUGGGAUAUGUGCGCGCCGACGGGGCGAGUGGGGGUGGGGUGAGGCGUUGGGUUGGUCGGCCGGUGGGAAUCAACUGUGCAGGUCCGAGUAAUGUUUGGUCGUGCAUUGCGGUGCUGUGCUUGUCUCUCACGUGUAAAGUGAUACGCGUAUUUCGUUCAUUGCUUACUUUUUGUCGUCCUCGUCGUCGUCGUUGCCCCGCCUCCUCUGCGGUGUUCCUGGUUGCUGUCCGUGUAUUGGAUGUAUGCGUGCUGGUGUGAACGCCCUUGUUUUUUUCUAUUACUGCAUGUCGCUCUAUCGCCUGUGAGUCCUUUCUUUCUAUUUCGGCUCCUCGUCUCCCCAAGGCUGUCCCUCACAUCACUCCCUUCGCCUUCUCGGCGUGCCCCAACCGUGGUGCUCGUCGUGUUGCUUGCUGCGUGCUGCUGUCGUUGAUAUGUAUGUUCACUGUGCGGAGAAGGUGUAGUACGACCCUGCGCGAACGGAGAAGAGCGGGUGGCGGGGUAGGGGGAGCGUAGGAUCAGAGAGACCGACAGAGAGGGGGCGGGAAGGCAGUAGGUUGCUUACAUGCGCAGCACGCCACCAUUUUGGUUGAACAGAGAGACAGGAGGGGAAAAAAGGGCCCGCACGGGGCGUGCACGCAUCUUUACUGGUUGCUGCGCAAGCCGUGCCGGUGCUGGUGGAGUGUCGAGCUACUCUCCUCACACUGAUAAGGGGACCAGCGCAGCCUGCGAGCGCAGUUACCGCGACUUCGUCACAGCGCCCUGAGGGCGUGCCGAGUCGCGCGGCCACCCUCCCUCUCCCUCCGGUCGCCACUUCUCUGCGUGCCAUUACUCCACAGCGCUAAGAAAGCACUGCUUCAUUGCAGUACCGCUCUCUCUCUCUACACGCCUUACUAUGCCCUUCCCUACUCCCCGCACAUCUUUCCUUCUCCUGCCGUAAACCACCACCGUUCCUAUCACCGCUACCAACACGAUCAUCAUCAG